RNAcentral lists this ribosomal RNA (425 nucleotides) under uncultured bacterium. Its description in RNAcentral is "bacterial SSU rRNA". It matches the Rfam family "Bacterial small subunit ribosomal RNA", at positions 354 to 796 of the family's 1533-position model. The record is from RNAcentral.
GUGGGGAAUAUUGGACAAUGGGCGCAAGCCUGAUCCAGCCAUGCCGCGUGAGUGAUGAAGGCCUUAGGGUUGUAAAGCUCUUUCAGUGGGGACGAUAAUGACGGUACCCACAGAAGAAGCCCCGGCUAACUUCGUGCCAGCAGCCGCGGUAAUACGAAGGGGGCUAGCGUUGUUCGGAUUUACUGGGCGUAAAGCGCACGUAGGCGGAUCGUUAAGUCGGGGGUGAAAGCCUGGAGCUCAACUCCAGAACUGCCUUCGAUACUGGCGAUCUUGAGUCCGGAAGAGGUGGGUGGAACGCCGAGUGUAGAGGUGGGAUUCGUAGAUAUUAGGAAGAACACCAGUGGCGAAGGCGGCUCACUGGUCCGGUACUGACGCUGAGGUGCGAAAGCGUGGGGAGCAAACAGGAUUAGAUACCCGAGUAGUCC